GAUGAACGCUGGCGGCGUGCCUAAUACAUGCAAGUCGAACGAAACUUCUUUAUCACCGAGUGCUUGCACUCACCGAUAAAGAGUUGAGUGGCGAACGGGUGAGUAACACGUGGGCAACCUGCCCAAAAGAGGGGGAUAACACUUGGAAACAGGUGCUAAUACCGCAUAACCAUAGUUACCGCAUGGUAACUAUGUAAAAGGUGGCUAUACUACCGCUUUUGGAUGGGCCCGCGGCGCAUUAGCUAGUUGGUAGGGUAAAGGCUUACCAAGGCAAUGAUGCGUAGCCGAAUUGAGAGGUUGAUCGGCCACAUUGGGACUGAGACACGGCCCAAACUCCUACGGGAGGCAGCAGUAGGGAAUCUUCCACAAAGGGCGAAAGCCUGAUGGGGCAACGCCGCGUGGGUGAAGAAGGUCUUCGGAUCGUAAAACCCUGUUGUUAGAGAAGAAAGUGCGUGAGAGUAACUGUUCACGUUUCGACGGUAUCUAACCAGAAAGCCACGGCUAACUACGUG
RNAcentral lists this ribosomal RNA (512 nucleotides) under uncultured bacterium. RNAcentral describes it as "partial 16S ribosomal RNA". It matches the Rfam family "Bacterial small subunit ribosomal RNA", at positions 28 to 507 of the family's 1533-position model. The record is from RNAcentral.